Molecule: long non-coding RNA, 428 nt
Filed under: Homo sapiens (human)
Lineage: Eukaryota; Metazoa; Chordata; Mammalia; Primates; Hominidae
Description: non-protein coding lnc-SHOX-4:1
Source: RNAcentral
AUACAUAGGUGCACAUAGGCACACAUGCAGGCACACACAGACACAUACAUACACACACACAUGCAUGCGCACACACAUACAUGCAUGCACACAUGCACAUCCCCACACAUAUGCACAUGGAUGCAUAUACAUGCACACACACAGGUGUACACACAUGCAGGCACAUGUAUACAUGGAUGUAGGCACAUACUAAUGCACACAUGUAUACAUGCACAUAGGCUCAUACACACAUGGAUGCACAUACACAUGCAUGCACAUGAUACACAUGCACACAGAUACGUAUUGUCAACCUAAGGAAAUAAACUUAGACAAAAUUAAUAUAAGUAGGGGGUUUCCUUGAGCCACAUUUGAGGACUGCAGCCCAGGAAACCCUCCAACUCGCCUUAGGAAGUGGCUGUGGAGAACAACGUCGAGACGGGAGCUUCUAA